This 255-nucleotide ribosomal RNA is filed under the name uncultured bacterium. RNAcentral's name for it is "partial 16S ribosomal RNA". It matches the Rfam family "Bacterial small subunit ribosomal RNA", at positions 524 to 777 of the family's 1533-position model. The record is from RNAcentral.
UACAGAGGGUGCGAGCGUUGUCCGGAAUCACUGGGCGUAAAGGGCGCGUAGGUGGCGACCCAAGUCGAUGGUGAAAGCUCGCCGCUCAACGGCGAGUCGGCCACCGAUACUGGGUUGCUGGAGCACUGUAGAGGCUCAUGGAAUUCCGGGUGUAGCGGUGGAAUGCGUAGAGGAUCCGGAAGAACACCGGUGGCGAAGGCGGUGAGCUGGGCAGUUGCUGACACUGAGGCGCGACAGCGUGGGGAGCAAACAGGG